RNAcentral lists this ribosomal RNA (345 nucleotides) under uncultured archaeon. RNAcentral's name for it is "bacterial SSU rRNA". It matches the Rfam family "Archaeal small subunit ribosomal RNA", at positions 691 to 1035 of the family's 1478-position model. The record is from RNAcentral.
CCGACGGUGAGAGAUGAAAGCUGGGGGAGCAAACCGGAUUAGAUACCCGGGUAGUCCCAGCCGUAAACGAUGUGCGUUAGGUGUAUCGGUGACCACGAGUCACCGAGGUGCCGAAGAGAAAUCGUGAAACGUACCGCCUGGGAAGUACGGUCGCAAGGCUGAAACUUAAAGGAAUUGGCGGGGGAGCACCACAACAGGUGGAGCCUGCGGUUUAAUCGGACUCAACGCCGGGAAACUCACCAGAUAAGACAGCUGAAUGAUAGUCGGGCUGAAGACUCUACUUGACUAGCUGAGAGGAGGUGCAUGGCCGUCGUCAGUUCGUACUGUGAAGCAUCCUGUUAAGUC